Molecule: long non-coding RNA, 1034 nt
Organism: Oncorhynchus tshawytscha (Chinook salmon)
Lineage: Eukaryota; Metazoa; Chordata; Actinopteri; Salmoniformes; Salmonidae
Source: Ensembl
UAGACAGUCAACCUAAAACACACAGUGUCCAUUAUAUUUCAAAGAGAAGGACCGCCAUGAUUCACAAUAAAGACUCCAAUAAGGCAGUGGCAGACAUGGCUCAUGGCUCGGUUAUGUCUUCUCUAAAAUACGUUUUUGAAGAAGGGAUAAGAAGUUGGGAAGGAUGUCUGGACGGCGACCCCUUCAUGUCUCAAGUACAGGGGAAUGAAAAGAGGAGAGACCUGAAGUGUUGGUGGGACCUGAGCCCUAAGACCAUGCCUCAGGACUACCUGGCCUGAUGAGUCAUUGCUGUCCCCAGUCCACCUGGCCGUGCUGCUGCUCCAGUUUCAACUGUUCUGCCUGCGGCUAUGGAACCCUGACCUGUUCACCGGACGUGCUACCUGUCCCAGACCUGCCGUUUUCAACUCUCUAGAGACAACAGGAGUGGUAGAGAUACUCUGAAUGAUCGGCUAUGAAAAGCCAACUGACAUUUACUCCUGAGGUGCUGACCUGUUGCACCCUCUACAACCACUGUGAUUAUUAUUAUUUGACCCUGCUGGUCAUCUAUGAACAUUUGAACAUCUUGGCCAUGUUCUGUUAUAAUCUCCACCCGGCACAGCCAGAAGAGGACUGGCCACCUGUCACGGUUGUGUAUAGAGACGGACCAAGGCGCAGCUUGCUCUGAGUUAGACAUCUUUAUUUAUUUGAAACUUACAAAAAAAAAAGGAAACCAAUAACGAACCGUAACAUAAGAGGUGCUACAUGCACUAACUCAAAACAAGAUACCACAAAACACAGUGGGGAAAUGGCUGCCUAAAUAUGAUCACCAAUCAGAGACAACGAUAAACAGCUGCCUCUGAUUGGGAACUAUACCAGGCCAACAUAGAAAUAAAACCCCCAAGAUUAGAACACCCCCCUAGUCACACCCCAACAUAACGGAAAUACAGAAUUAAAAAGCUCUCUAUGGUCAGGGAGUGAUACCACCCCUCAUUGCCUGGUUCCUCUCUAGGUUUCUUCCUAGGUUCUGGCCUUUCUAGGGAGUUUUUUCUAGCCAC